GCUUCUCCUCCCUCUCCAAGCAUUAAGUGAUCAUAAAAUUACAUAUAUUGCCAUUGAGAAGCCGUUUUACCAAAUGUUUUGCAAAACGGCUUCAGCUUCACUAAAAAAGUCACUCCACCGAAAAAGCCGAAGCUGAAGCCGUUUUAUGAGAAGCCGAAGCUCUACCAAACGGGGCCUUAGCAGUGGUGCUAGCUUUUUGCACCCGCUGCUUCAAAUAAAAUAGUAUAUUUCACUCUUGACUACUACAUUACAUGCAUGGGAGGAAAAAGCUGACAGCGAGAAUUGUCUAUAGGAUAAAAGGUUGCUUUUGCUUUAGCUUAUACGUUGGAGCAUUUUGUCUCAGCUAGCACCUGGAUGACAUGUCUGGAUUCAAAAUUCUUGGAAGGACUAUACGCUGGCCUUGCUCUCAGAGAGCAUCGAGGAAAUGGGUCGGACACCGUCCACCUCGCCUGCUCCCUCUCCUCUGUAGAAAAGAAAUGUAGCAUAGUCGAUAGCAGUAGUACAAUAAUCUACUGUAGAUUGGUUUUCUCUACUCCUAAAAAUACGUCCACACUCUGUGGUAGUUGGUUCCGCGCCGACAGGAGGGCCCCGACCCCACGCCUGGCUGCUCCGACCGCGAACCUGGCUUCCCAAUCCGAAUGCUAGCUGCACCUCCACGUAUAGUUGGCCAUAUGGGCAGGGCCCGUGGGCCGGCCCACGGCAUAGGAUUGUGGCCCGAUCCAUGCACGAACCGGCACGGUGGUCGUCGUGGCCGUCCUGACCUGGCCCACACCACGGGCCGCUGCCUCAGCCCACGUGCUGGCCCAUUUGACCUAUCAAAAUUACGUGGGCGGCCGAGCCUGUUAAGGCCCGCUCAGCCCACGUAUAAAACCCCCCACCCCAAACCCUACUUCCUGUCCUCCAUCCCACCGCCGCCUCGCCCGCUGCUUCUCCCGUUGUGCGCGCACCCUCCGCCGCCUCCCCGGCCGCUUCCCCCGCGCCCCUCUGCCGCCUCCCCGAGGCGCGUGCCCUUCGCUGCCUCCUCGUGCUGCUUCUCCCGCGAGGCGCGUGCCAUGAAGGCAACCUAGGGCACCUGUGCCGGUGCCUCGUCUUCGCCGCGGUCGAGGAGGUGGUGGCGGUCGAAGACCGGGUACGUCAGAAGGAUGUGGCCGUGUGCGAAGAUGUCGUGAGCCGGCGCGAGGUCCUCGGCAUCACAGCCGGGCAGCGUGUUGGAGAAUAUCGUGGCUGCGUGUGGCAUUGGGAAGGCAAAGCUGAGGAUGGAGCCGGGCAGCGUGUUGGAGAAUGCCGUGCCUGCGGGUCGCCACGAGCACGGCGAGGCCGUUAAGGCCUACCGGGCCUACGUGUCGGCAGGGCCCGCCUAAGGAGGUAGUGGGCCGUGCCUGGGCUGCUCCUUCAGGACGCGGGUCGGCACAGCACAGCACGGUUACUGUGCGGGCCUAAACGUGCCAAGCCUAACGGUGGCGGGUCAAAUCGUGCUCGUGCCAGGCCGGACCGGGCCGCUUGUUUGGCCAUCUAUAGAUCUAUACUCCCCUCACCUCCCUGCAGCAACUCCUCUGUGCCGACCUCCCGGCUGUCUUCCUUGCAGCACUCACUAGUCGCCAGCUAUCCUCCGCUCCCCCAGCUGCACUCGCCAUCCGUCGCCGCUGCUCUCGCCGCACUUCUCCACUUUCUUCCCCACCCAUCGCUACUGCCUCUCCCCACCCGCCGUGACCCAAUCCACCGCCUACCAACUACUCCCCUGCGCAACUCCGCAUCGUGGUCUAGGGCCCUCUUCGGCGAUCAGAUCCGGCGUCUCCACGGCCGGAUCUGCCAAUCUACCAUUUCCUUCGCUCCCGGAUCCGCCGCCGCUGCUGCCAGUGUUCUCAGGCGGCAGCCACAGCUGCUGUCGGGCCCCGGUCUGAAGCGCGGUGUUCAACGUGUCGACCAGCAUCAUCGGCGCCCUCCGUGCUGUUCCUCGUCGCGCUCGUCGACGUCUACGUGCUCAACGUUUUCCCCGUGCUGUUCCUCUGCGCGCCACCAAGCAGACUGCGUGCCCCGCCGCCGCAGCCUCCCCUCCGCCCGCUCCUAGCAAGAGACGGAGCGGGAUUUGGGACCGGUGACACGGCGCCGCUGCGUGAGGGAGCUGCGGCUGCCACAUUUAAUCAGCGACGGGAAUGAGAGAGCUGUGGGACGUCGCCGCCUUCUGCGUCGUCCCUGCCUGCAACGCCCUCUCCGCCGCAAGUUCCUGCACGCACGUCGCCACCACCUCCAGUACCUCACCACCGCCAUCAUGGCCCCCCUGCUUCUGCUCCUUCCCCACUGCUCCGAUUCGAAAAUCCUUUCCCACUUCUUGAAUCGUCUUAGAUUAUUGGAUGAGCUGCAAUUUUAAUCAUGAUCUUCUGAUUUGUUUCGUAUGGUCCUGAAUGGAUUCAGACGCAUCGAGCAAAUUACGUCAAAGAUUACACUGAUGGUGAUACAGGGGAGCCAUGAGAUUGAUUCUAACAUGCCGUCGUUCCUUUUUGGCUUUGCGCUUACAGGCUCCAGCAGCAGGGGCGACGACAUGGGAGCUGUGGCUGUAAGCAGGGAGGAUAUGGAGGUGAAGAAGAUGGAGGCCGGCGGCGAGCUACGGUCCGAAGAUAUUGGCCUCGGCGUUUCUCCUGGCCAUGCAUCUUUCUUUCUUCUCUGCUAUGCCAAGCGCCGGCAGCUUACCAGCCGGCAACCAUCUUUGUGUUUCUUGGGCACCAGCUAGCAUGACGGCGAGAACGCUGAAUUACGAGAAAAAAAAUUAAGCUUAUAAGAUUUUCUCGAUAUUGUGGUCAACUUUGCUCACAUUUUGUUUGUAAAGUUCUCCAGCUUAUGUGUACAAUGUUGCCUGAAAUGACUUUCCUGUUCGUUUAUAUGACAUCUAGCAUAUGUUGACUUACAUUUCUGAAAUUUCUAUCUGAACAUGAGCAGUUGCAUGAGGCCGAGGGUCAGGGUGUGGUGUUUGAUGCAGCUAGCCUAGAUUGAGACGAAGAAGUACAAUGAUCACGUAUGCGUUGCCAUUUGCGCUAGAAUGCAAACAGUGGCACUUGAUUUCCUGUUUCAGUCUGCCUAUAAACUAAAAGAGAGCACUCCUGUGGAGAUAAUGUUACACUUUUCCUUCCUGAAGUUAAAAUGUCAAGCAAGUUAUGAAUCGUUUAAAGUUCUGCUCUUUUAAUGUUUGCACUACUAGAAAAUCUGAAUUCGUUCAAGAUGGUUUGGGCAAAUUUCAAUUCAGUGGCUGGUUUAUAUUUCAAUUCAGAUGGUUGAGUGUCUGAUCCAACUUUAGCAAAAGCUGGUGGUCAGGCUACAAGUUGAUGCAUAUCCAUGAGUACAAAGCUUGAGCAUUCUGUAGUAUGAAAAGCAGGUGGGGCUACUGUUGUUGUCUUAACAAGUAUUUAGUUUUCAUACAAAUUUAGUGUUGUGCAUUGUAAUCCGAAACUGACUUUCAGACUAAUACUUGAAGGUCAUUCAAUGAUAAACCAGUGAAGGUAUCAGUUGCCUCAAUUGGGAAGGACUUGUUUGAGAGUGUUUGACCCACUGAAGGUCAUUCUAUCGUAUCUUGGGUCAGCUAUUUUGCAAGUGUUUGACCCAAUCAACAAUAUGAUGUGUGUAAAUUUGAGUCACCUGUUGCAAUGCGCGCGCACCAAACUAGUCUAGCCAAUAAUCCUAUUCUUGCUAGUUAGGUAUUCUAGCAAAUUAAAUAAUCCUAUUCUCGCUAACUAGCAAGGUUGCGCACACAUAAAUAGCACGACUGAUUCGAAUUUUGCUGCGUGUGCAAUCUUAGUUUCCAGAGAGAAUUCCUUAUCUGGCCCUGAAACAAAUGGCGCUUCCCUAUUUGGCCCUUUUUUAUCAUUCAUCCCUUAUUUGGCCCUUCCGUCCACUUGACUGUUAGAUGGCCUGCGAAAAUACAUCUUUGCCGCUGGCGAAAAUCACAGCAUGCCUUAUUUGACCCCCUUUUUACAAAACAACAGAUUGCAUAUCUACCUUAUUUGACCCCAUGCAAGACAAAAAAAAAAAAUUCGGCAUAUCUGUUGUAAAUGUGAAUAUAUAAAGCUCAUUUAUAGCCAAAUUCUCCACAUUUGCAACAGAUAUAUUUAAGCACAACAUCAAUGAUAUGCAAUCCACAGGAAUUUCCGACACAUAGUCCAUUUUGGAGAUCUCCCAUUUUGGACAGCACCCAAGUCAUAUGGUUCAAAUGUGCAUCUCCAAGCAUACAAGUUCAUAUGGUUCAGAUGCAGUAGGUUUAUAUAAAUAGGUUGUUCACAUACAGAUCCACCAUCCACCAUCUCCAACGCAUACGGUUCUUCACAUACAAGUUCACAUGAGCACAACAUGCUUAUAAUAAGGUAAAAACCACAAAAUCGCAAACUGAGCCUUCUUUUGCUUCUUGUGCUCGUCGCUAGGCUAGCAGAAUCAACUUUUUUUGCUUCUUGUGACCAUUGCAGGGCUGUCAAAUAACACACCAGAUUUUUUUCCCUUUCUCUUUAGUUUCUUUCUUCCCUUUGGGAUUUGAGAGCUUUAUCUUCCCUUGUGCAUUCCUCCAUUUAGGCUUUGUGGCAGCAAUGGGAUUUGAGCCAGUAGACAUAGGAAACUCAAUGCUAAUGGGAUCUGGCUGAGUUGUGCUUCCGGCUGACCUGCACCUAUGCAUGCAUAAGAAAAGAAAAAAGAAAUUCAAAACCUAGCUAAUUGGAAGCAAAGGAAUUUUCAGCACAAACUAGAACCAUAUAGUACAUUGUUGAGCCUCCAGAUUCUGAUGCACAUUUUCCACCUUUUGUAGUUGUAGGUCCUACACUUUGGCUAUGGUGACAAGAAAGCAAAUUAGCAGUGAACGCUCUAAUUUAAACAUGAGCACAAGUGUGAAAGUGUAAACCUUGGUGGGAAACACAUAGAGGAAGAUGGUGCAUCAUCAUUAAAAGGGACUAUGCUUUCAUCUGUUGAUGCCCGACGCGCCGUGGUCUGGCUGGCGAGCCCUCGAGGCUCGCGGCCUGGCCUGCACGCGCCCAACGCUCCGUGGCUUGGCCGACCAUGAUGACUCCUCCCCUCGCUUGAGUGGCCGCUGCCACGACACCUCUUCCCGUGCACUGCCGGCCAAACCCGCCACCUGCCCACCUCGCCUCCACCUGCCCGCCUCAUCUCUGCUUGCCCGCCCGCCCACCUUGACGCUGCCACCAUCGCCAAUUUGGAUCGGUUCCUGGUGGUAGCAGUGGAUAGGGUUUAGGAUGUUUCAUGGGAGAGAUGGGGAAAGUGACUCUUUAGUGAGAUCUCCUAAUUCGUGGGGUCUAGGCAUACCUCGUGUCCAUCUAUCGGGCCGUGUGGUGACACAAGGGCGUAAUGGUCCAUUUUGGAAAACUAUGAUAGGAGAACUAGCAAAACUGAAGGAACAUGGACGGAAGGGCAAAAUAAGGCAUUGUUGGAUUUAUAAGCCCGGCGGUUCACCAGGGGUUACCCAAAUGGUUGAUUUGUAGGUAAGGACGAUUGCGAAACCAAGAACUCGAAGGUGAUCGUGAGAACACAAAGGACAUAGGGAGUUUUAGAUAGCUUUAGACCUCCGGAGAUUAAUGCCCUACGUCCUAUAUGUGGGUGGAUUCUAUUGCUUGUAUGGGAUGUGGUACCCUCGAGGGGCUCCCUUGGCCACCUUAUAUAGGCUGACGACCUAGGGCUACAAGUCGGUUUGAAUCUAAUAUACUCGGUAAUUACAUAGAAGGUAAUCUGAGUUGGAAUUCAAUACGCGUUCCAUGAUAUCCAGGCAAAUUUUAAUUGUCUGGUUUCCUUGGCGUGUACUUCAAGUAUCUUCAUGUCCUUAGCACGCACACCCUGGUCGAGCGGGCCCACUUUUCAGGUCCGCCUAGUAUUCUAGUCGGUAGGGAUCUAUGUGGUACUCAUAUCUCUCAGGCAUGAAAGAUUAUAAAAGGGCCAAAUAGGUAAAUUUUGGUUUUUCAGGUCUAGAUGUGACACCCGUUCCAAUUGGUUGGCUCAGUGUGGCCCAUGAGCAUAGGUGCUCAUGUUUAGUACCACCUUACUAGUUGAGCAAGGGUGGAGCAAACUUAUAAGCCUUUGUCAAGUAGCCAUAGCACCUUCGGGUUUAACCCUUUUACACAAAGCAAGGACGAAAGUGUAAGUAGGGUGCUAUGCAUCGCGUGCCCACCCCUCGGAAGAGCUGAGCAGUGCGGCUUUGGAGGACGGGUUGUUACAAAUUGUAUCAGAGCCAACCCUCGCGGUUGCACGUACGGGUCAGUGUGCGGGCAUAUGGCACAUGGCGCGUGUGGGCUCUGUAUGGGAUAAAUAGCAUGACAUAUGGCACCAACACUGGAUGUAUGAUCGUGCACUAAGAGGGAACAUUCCUGGACAUUUACCCAAGUGUGGGUGAGUUGGAUCGACGAGGACGUCGAGUUCUUUGAGGGGGGGUGUAUGUGGCACCCGGUCCAAUUUGGUUGGACCAGUGUGGCUCAUGAGUGCAGGUAGUACCACCUUGCUAGUUGAGCAAGGGUGGAGCCAACUUAUAACCCUUUGUUAACCAGCUAUAGCACCUUCAGAUCAACUCUUUUGUGAGUAUACAUGUACCUGCUGUGUACACCCACCACCCUAAGACCCUGUAUACAUGCACGUGUACCGUGUACGCUCGUACUUGUACGCGAGCAUGUAUAGCUAACACCACCCACACCAACCUUGGGCAUACUUAUGCAUGAAUGUAUACACAUUCCACAUACGUAUGUCUACAUGCCCAUAACCACCCAUACUCACCAAGCACACACCAACGUAUAUGUGUAAUCGCACUUAGUAUGUACAUGCGAAGGUACCACAUCCAUGAUAAUCCCUACCCCUUGUACGUGUAUAUAGCUACAUAUGCACGUACCUAACUAGACGCCAACCUUACACGCAUACACAUACACCAUUCGAGACCACGACCCAUUAUUAGGUCAAUCGAGUCAUUCAUGAUGAUUUGAUCUGGCUUUCUCUCCAAUGGAAGUCAAUCAAGUUAUUUGUGAUGAUUUGAUCUAGCUUUCUCUUCAAAUUCACAUGAUACUGAAAUAUAAUAACGUGGUCUGAUUUUUGCAAGUUAACCCCCACCUAGACCCCUUAUUUGGAGAAGUCAAUCAAGCAAUUGUGAUGAUUUGAUUUGGCUUUCUCUUCAAAUUUACAUGAUAGUGAAAGAUAAUAACGUGGUCUUGUUUCCACCAAGUUAACCUCCACCUCAUCCCCUAGCAACCUCACUUAUUGGUUGGAUGGAUUAAUCCCAUCUAAUCUGUUUUCAAAUUCACACAGUAGUGAUAGACAAACUAACUCUCAUCCUAAGGACAAGCAGGUUGAUCCCUCUACGGCUGGUUAUGCUUUGUUUGUUUGUUUGUGAUGCUAGGUUGCGUAGGAUAGAGCUACGAAGAGAAGACCGAUGAUCAAGACCCUACUCGAAGAGGAAUAUGAAGGACAAGAUAAUACGAGAACUGAAGUGUGUUGGAUCUGUUCGAAAAGGAAAUCAAGGUAGCUAGAGGAACAAAAUUGCCAGUGAGAGGAGGCAAGUCCUAUCUUUCUCCCUUCCACAUACAUUUGCCUUACAUACAUGUAGUGAGUACCACUAUCAGAUGUAGACAUGUCCCUAGUAUAUUACUCCACAAUUUUAACAUAAGCCUACCACCAGCUUGUCAUGGGAGAUCGCCACUUAGAAAUGCACUUAUUAUGAGAAUCAUGUUACCUUUCUAGGUUAUGAGCAUGAUGAUCUAGUAUUGUACUGUGUGGGCGUACUAGAGCUGCUUGUGCUGUGUGCCUUAGGAUACCUUGUGCCAUUUUAUGCCAGGGAAACAGGGUGCCUGCGAAGGUUAACCUAGGGGUGGCGACGAUCCUGUGUGGGUAUCCUCAUUGGAGAGCUUACCCUAGCACCAUAAGAACCGAUUCGUUAGACAUCUGACCUAAUCACACUAGUGCAACCUCAUGCUGAAUGGGAAGUCUUGAUCUCACACUAAGUUGGAACCUUACUAAAGCCUGGGGGCUGAAGUAGGCAACAUGGCGUCAGGAGAAGACAUAGGGUGCUGUGUGUUCUCCCAUAAGUCUGGCUUAGGUCCAGAGGUGGUGGUACCUCUAGGUUUUCGAUCUGUGUGAUGUAUUUAUAUUGGCCAUUAUUUAUAUGUGUGAUAUUUUGUUAACCUAAGCCCCUGACAUUUCGUCAGUAAUAGUAUAGGGAAAGGCCGGCGGGUGUUAGAUCUCGGCAUGUUAGUUUUGCCAGCAGUGCAUGGCUGGACGAAGCGCGCCAUGUGGGUAAAGUGUACAACCUCUGCAUAGUAUAUGAAUUGAAUAGCCACGUCCUUAGUACUGGGCAACCAGUUAUGGUGAGGUCUAUAUGAUUAGUGUUUAUAAAGAGAUUGCUGUGGGAAAUCACGUAAGGAACCGACGACAAGAAGCCAUGCUAGUGACACAUGUGUUGGCUUGACAACCGGAACUGGCGGGAAUGGAGAAUUCUCCCCCAGGAACCAAACCUCUUUUAUAAAUAUCCACCUUCGAUAUUGCAUAUUCACCAGAAUAAUCCCUUGCAUGCAACCCGCAAAUCCUUACCUUACCUAAACCCAAUUGUUGGACUUGCGGAGUAGCUCGUGUACUCAUACCACCCUUAUUGAACAUUUUUAGGAGAAAGCUGCAGGAGCCCUCACAAUGAUGAAGGAAUACCAGCAGAUGUACUCAAGGAAAACAACGGGUUAGGGCAAGAGAUAGGAUAAGAACCCAUUUGAUGAUAAAGAUUACUCUCAGAUUGGAGUACGCAGGGAGGUGACGGACUCGUACCAGAGUACGAUUAAAGAUGAGGACUGUACUCUGGAGGAUUCUUGAAGAUGAGGGUUAUGUCUACAUCCAAGAAUGCCUGUAGGAAUUGAGCCAUGACACCAUAAGUCCGCUGCAGGAGAUCUCUGAUGUUUAUCAUGUUGCUCUGUUUGUAAUGUUUGCCUUGAUUGCCUUGUUGGCAUUAGGCCACUCCUGCAAAGACAUAAAUGUAACCCUAUUUUAGAAUCAAUAAAGAUCAAAGUAUUGUUUUGGUAUCAAUCUCUUGCGUCUGUGCAGAACUGAUACGAUGUGCACAGUGGACCUCUGAAAAGCAUUUUGAGAAUUUUACCAAAACCGAUCUGACCGAUUUGCACAUCCUGUCAAUUUUAGUCGCCAACAGAUCUGAAAGGUCUUGGUAAAUACAGCUAGCCGGGAACAAUUGCAAUAUUGCUGGCCGUGAGGUCGCACUGCCUCCACCGGCCACCAUUCACCAAUAGCCCCGCGCCACUAUACGUCCAGUUCUAGUGUGCUAGUGUACGCAUGCUUGCCGCACUAAUCUUUUGUGGUGCAAUGUGUAGGAAAAAGGUCUUCUCAUUGUUCACAAAAGCAACCACUACUUCCUAACUUUGAUGUGAGCCAUAAUCCUAAAACAUUAUUUCAUUCUUCCACAACAUGUGGUGGACGUUGCAAUCUAUAUAUACUUGUUCUUUUAGAGAAAGUAUGUAGAUAAAAUGACCAAAUUACCCUUAUAUAUAUAUUUAUAUUCUCUAAAGUAUGCAUGUGAGAAAAUAAAUAUUUAAUAGUGCAAAUUAAAAAGGAUAAUAUUGGAAACAAUAGGGCAAAGUUGCCUAGAAGUUGUGGAACAAAUAUUUUGCAUAUUAUAAUGGAGGCUAAAUCAACAAGUAUCAUGAUGAACCAGAGGGAGUACUAAAUUGAUUUUUUUAACCAGACUUGACUUACCAGUGUAUUAGCUUAUACGUAAUGUAUUAAUUACAAUCAAACGAAAUCAUGUACUUCCUCCGUUCUUCAAUGAAGAGUGUAAUUGUAGAUUUUUUUCCCGAACACAUUAGUAUGGUCGUCAAAUGACCUCAGUACCGUAAUUAAUUUGCCGAGUCCACCUAUUUCGGUGUGUUACCUUUCUGAUCCUUUCCCUACUAGCGUAAAUCGUGGCAUGCAAAGUAAUUAAGGCCGGCAAAUAUGUUUUUCCACUCGAUUAGGCAUGCAAGAUAAUUAAGUGGACCCUACUUGUAGUUCAAUUCUUAAGAUUGCACUCUUCAUAAGAUAUUUCUUUCAAAUGCUAGAAUUGUAGUUUUCAUGGACGGAGAGAGUAACUUAUUUUUUGUUUGUCACUUCACUAGUGCACAACUGUGAAUAUCACUAGGUUCUUAUGAAGCAUGGCAUUCCUUUAGUGUUGAAAGCACGUACGUGUUGCGAAUUGGAACACUACAUAGUGGCCGUACUGGUCAGGAACGCAGUGGACAGGGAAGUGGCAAACACCCAUUUCUUCGCUGCUGCAUAAUGCCGUUCCCAUAAAGUACUGCUCCAUUACUGCUAAUGCACGUUCCCAUCAUGUUGUUGACAGCCUUGGCACUGUGCAUGCCUGCUUCUUCAGGGCAGAGCUCGGGCAAUGGUACGGUGGCGAUACUGAUAUCCUCUCGCCCAUGGCUUUCAAUAAUGAUCUCUAUACGCCUCUCAUGUUAUCCUUAGUGGCAAACUGGCAGUGGUGGCGACUGGAUUGCUGUCUCAGUGGAGCUGGCACGCCACUUACAUGGAGCUGCUGGGUGUGUGAUCCUCCAGGGAGCUGCUGUUACUGAUGGGUGUGUGGUCCCUACUAUAGCACUGCUGGCAUUUCCACAUGGCUGUGCCCAUAUGGAACUGCUGGGUGUGUAAUCCCCCUCUCCCAGCUUGCUAUAGUAGGGAUGAUCCAAAAAUUGUAGAAGCUUUCGUCAUCCUGGCCGUUGUCGGCAUGUUCCUCUUGCACAUACUGGGUUUGUUACGCCGGCGGUCGAGCCGUAGCCUCCUCCAUGCUAUCGUGAUGGGAAUCUACACGCUCUCCUAUCCACUGGUGAGCUACACUAUCGGCCGGGCUGAUGUAUAAGUCCGGUAGGAAAUACGAAGACUUCGCCGUGUGGGCAGUGCUUCUGCUCCUCGGCAACACGGACAGCCUCACGGUUCGCCACCUCAGCGACAUCGACAACUGGAAGAGCAUUCACGUCAAACACCUCUACCAGGGAUUCUUGCUGGUGUUUAUCGUUGUGAUUAUUCGCCAGUUCAAGAAUUUGCUCUACCGGCAACCGCUCUAUGCCAUCCAGGUGGUGGUCAUCCUCAAGGGGUAUCCGAGGAUCGCUUCCAUGAGGAUGGUGAGCAAAUCCUACAUAUUCAAGAAGGUGAAGGUGAUCGCCGAAUACAUGCAGCACAAGGACAACCUGGUGGUAACCUUCGAUGGCCUGUGACCAUGGAAGGCUACCAGUAAAUGGUCGCUGGCGAGAAGUACUGAUGAAAUAAUGGGCUUGGCCCGUUCUAAUUUCAGAAAUUUCAAAUAAAUUUCAAAGGUCUACGUGGGCAUGAGCAAGUGGUUGAGUGGUGCAAACCUUUAAUUCCACAUUGCUAGUAGAGGAGGAGGAUGACCAACUUAAAUAUGGAGGUUGUCUCCACUCCUCCAAGCUAUGUGUGUGGGGAGAGAAGGAAAGCUCUACAACAUUAAAAACUCUGGCUAAGUCUACAUCAGGUAGAGUAUAAACAAAAGUUAAUCAUCACCUUGGCAAUUAAUCGAUAUGUACAAGAAGGAAGUUAAAAGUUAAGAAAUAAAAAAGAACAAAUAAACAAAAGUUCUAUACUGAACCUGGUACGCAGUAACUAAUUAAUGCACGGAAUUAGUCUUUGGCUCUGAAAUUACUAUAUAAAUGAGAUAAAUGUUAUAACAAGCUAGCCCCGCUAUUGCUAGUUUGUGUCAAUAAAAGUAACAAUUAAAUUUUAUUGGUCCACCGUGAUUUAACAGGAAAGUCAUCAUUCAACACCGUUGUUAUAUAGCUCAACCACCACCGAACGUUGCUUUUUCUCCUAUAUAUACAUACAGCCUCAGGGUUCUCUAAGACCCAAACAGCGUACUUUUGGAGUGAGCUAGGUAGAGAAGUGUACAGCGCCCUCAGAAAUCAAAUCUGCAGCCAAUGCAACAUGGAUCCGGCACCGAGUCCCACACCCAGUCCCCUUACCAACGAGUGCCGUAAAGAUCAUACAGAUACCGUAAAAUUUUUUGUCAUCCUAGCCGUUGUCGCCAUGUUCCUCUUGCACGUACUGGGUUCCUUACGCCGGCGGUCGAGCCACACACUCCUCCAUUCUAUCGUGAUGGGAGUCUACACGCUCUCCUAUCCGCUGGUAGGCUUCACCGUUGGGCUGAUGAAAUCAUCCGAAUUCUACUACGAAGACUUCGCUGUGUGGGCAGUGUUCCUUCUUCUGCUCCUCGGCAGCACGGACAGCCUCACGGUUUGCCGCCUCAGUGACGUCGACGACUGGAAGAGCAUCCACGUCAAAUACAUCCUUCAGGGAUUCUGGCUGGUGAUAAUCAUUCUGAUGAUUUGCAAGCAUCAUGAUCAGGAAACCUACGGCCAGAAACUUCCCUACAGGUAUCCGUUGUAUGCCAUCGUGUUGGUCGUCAUCCUCAAGGGGUAUCUGAGGAUCGCUUCCAUGAGGAUGGUGAGCAAAUCCUACCUCUGCAAGAAGGUGAAGGUGAUCGCUGAAUACAUGCGGCACAAUGACAACCUGCCGGUGCCCUUCAAUCCAGUGACCAUGGAAGGCUACCGGUACAUGGUUGCUGGCGAGAAGUACUGCGUCAAUCGGCAGCCUGGGAGCAAACUAUGGUACAAGGGGGACGGCCUUAAAGUUGUCACCGUGGAGCAGAUCUGGCAGUGCACUGGGAGGCUGCUGGUCCUUGCGCGGGGCAAGCUGCUCAAGGACUUGUGCCUCUCUAUGGCACUCUCCAAGAUGCUCAACCGAAGGUUUGUUGGCUUCAAGCUCUCAGAGGCGGGGAAUGAGAAAACCCAUGACUUUGUGUUCAAAGGCCUGCUCGCCGGGAACACGCCACAUCAGAGGGCCUUCAAGGUCAUCGAGGAAGAGCUUGUUUUUGUCCAUGACUUCUAUUACACAAGGUAUUAUUACCUCUACCAGAAAGGUCGAUACAUUGCCCUCUGUCUGCCCAUCGUCAUGCUUGCCCUAUGCUCGUGGCUCACCUAUCUGCUCGUCAAGCAAUACAAGAGAAGCUCUCUGCUGGAUGCCACCAUAUUUGUAACUGUUGUCGUGGCAUUCCUGGAGGCAUACCAGCUCUACCUGUACGUAUCCUCAGGUUGGUUCAAGGUGGCACUAAUACAGAGCUACAUCGACACACCAUUUUUGCGAAGAAGCCGUUGCCUUGAGAUGAUCAUAGGCCUUCUUUUGAGGUUGAAGGCGAUUGCACCAUGGAAGCGCAGUCUUGGGCAGUAUUGUAUCCUCCAGGAGCUUGGUCGCAAAAGUAGGGUUAGGAAUUGUCUCCAUUAUGCUACGCUGUAUUUGGUGGACAAGGCCAUGAAGGGAAGCAAGAAUUCAGUGAAGCUGUCCGAAGAUGUGAAGAAAGCCAUCACUGAUUCCCUACUAGCAAGCAACGGACACCUGACGAACGGGGUAACAUCGCUGCAAAGAAAUGGCGUCCAUGAUGACCUCAAAUGGGCAUGUGAUGCUACUGCUACUGACGGAGCGGUGUCUCGCACCAUUGUGGCCUGGCACAUUGCUACAACCCUGUGCGAGCAGAAGCUGGAUAUACAAGCCAAAGAGGAAGACGCUGUCAAAACAGCCUCCACUUUAUCCAAGUACUGCAUGCACCUCCUUGCUUUUGCACCUAACCUCUUGCCCGACCACAGGUCCAUAUCAGAAUCCAUACUUGAUCAGUCAAUCGACGAAGCAAGCAAGUUACUCAAAGAGGCCAAGGACAAGAAGAUCAAGGGCAAGAACACGAAGAUCGAGGCCAGGUGUGACAUAUUAAUGGAAAUUAACACCGAUGGUUGUGUUGCUGAUGAAACAAGGCUUGUUGCGCGGGGCGUUCACCUUGCAAGGCAACUGAUUGAUAACAUACAAGACUUCACAACACGGUGGAAGGUGCUAUCUGAUUUCUGGGCAGAGAUGAUGCUGUACGUCUCGCCAUCCGACGAUGCUCGGGCGCACCUGGAAGUUCUUGCAAAAGGAGGGGAGUUCAUCACGCACCUUUGGGCGCUGCUCACGCAUGCCGGUGUGUUGAAGCGAGGACCCACAGAGCCAAAGGAUGUUGUGUGAUCUGUCCAACCAGUGCACAAGUAACAGUCCAUAUAUCAACCUAGUGCUUGUAAGUAGUAACAUCCUAGAAUAUUGCCUACAAUAAUGUUGAGACAGACCUACUUGUGGCAUACCAUGUGCGAGUUAGGUCCCGUUUGGCACAGCUUUUGCUUCCGCAAAAAUGGCUCUGGCUCUAGCUUUUCUGAUGAAUCAGUUUUUUUGGCUUUAGCUUGGCUUGGUGGAAAAAACAUUUGGUAAAACGACUUCUCCUCUUAUUUUAGAAUGUAUAUAAGUCAAAUGUCUAUAGUAUCCUUUUCUCCUUUUCUUUUUCUUUUUUUCCUUUUUCCUAUUUCUUUUCUCUUUCCCCAUUUCUUUUUUCUUUCUUAUUUUCUAUCUCCUUCACAUUCCUUCUUUGAUUCUUCCAUUCUUUUUUCUCUCUCCUGCAGCCUUUCUCUUUUUUCUCUCUCUCCGGGCCACGUUGCAUGCCCUUCUUCCUUUCUUUCUUUUUUUUUCCUACCUUGUUUCUCUCUCAGGCGGUGCUGCUGUCUGACCCGCACCUGGACACAUGCGUCUUUACGCAUCAUAAGCCAGGGAUGAGCCAUGAUAAGCCAGAAAAAUAGUUCAUGCCCUGCAGUGCAAGCCGUCAUCUGUAUUUUGCGGGGUUUUCGCCUGUGAGCUGUUUUGAGCUGCACCCUUUUGGCACAGCUUGCCCAUAAGUGGCUCCUUAAGCCGGUUCAUGAGCCGUGCUAAAGGGCAACUUAGUCUGUCGAGUUUGUAUCUCUUUUCUGUCGUGUCUGUUGUCGGAUUUUGAACAUAGUGGGAUCUGUAAUUUCCUCAAGUUUCAUUAAGAACAGUGCGCAUUUAGGUUGUUGGACGUGCGCGUAUCUUAGGUGGUCAUUACAGUCAUGAUCCGGUGACCACUUGAGUCACGAUCCUUAGUUAUGUUCCGUAUAUAAAGGGGAAGAAAACCGAAAAUGCUGCAGCUUGGUCGUAGCACAAAUCCACUCCCUCUCAGUUGCAUUUGGUCGUGUGUCAAUCGAGCAGAUCUUGUUGCAGCAGAGACUGACCCUACUGACCCUACUACUACAGAAGGGGCGGGGAUCCCGUUUUGAGGAUUCUAGCUCCUCAGGGAGGGGUUCAACCUUGAGGAUGAUGCCAUGGUAGGAAUUCUUGCGUUCAUGUUCAUAGGAGACUGAGGGUGUGUUUGGUUGCAUGCACCACAUGAUGCGUGCAUGGAUGAUCCUGGAUAGGGUGGUUCAAUCAGGAUGUGUUUGGUUGGUUGUAUCAUUUGAUUCAUGUAUGAAAUGAUUCAAAAUAAUAAUGAUUCUUUUGUUUGGUUGGAUGAAUUGGACCAACUCAUCCAGAAUGAGGCCAUCCCACUUAAUACAUUAUUCUAUUAAUUAAAGUGAACCAUAUGGUACAAACAAAUUGGUUGAACCACCCCAUCCAGGAUCAUCCAUGCAUGCAUCAUGUGGUGCAUGCAACCAAACACACCCUCAAUUUGCUUGUACCAUAUGAUUCAUUUUAAUUAGUAGAAUAAUGUAUUAAGUGGGAUGACCUCAUUCUGGAUGAGUUGGUACAAUUCACCCAACCAAACAAAAUGAUCAUUAUUAUUUUAAAUCAUUUCAUACAUGAAUCAAAUGAUAUAAGCAACCAAACACACCAUGAGUGUUAUGGAAAAAUGUUGUCUCCUCGCUCCCUCUUCCCUCUUCGGGGAAGGAAACCUUUAUUCUUUGCUGAGCGUAUUGGAUCCCUCGGGCAGGUAUUUACACGAUGUUAGGAUCCUAACACUGGUGGCGGGCCACUUAGAGACAAUAGUAAUGAAAGGACGGACUUCUUUAUGUGGCACCUAAGUACAGCUCUAUGCACUCAUGCUGAGGGGACACGUCCACAAUUGUUUUCAACUAUCGUAUCGUGAUCAGAGGUGGUGGCUGUUAGACGCGUGCCUAGGAUCUCUAGAUGCACAUCUAGUCGGGAUCAUAAACGACAUGAGGGACAUGGUGUUUCUGGUGUGUGCCGAGAGGGAGUGAGAGAGAUAGGGGUACCUUCACCCCUAGGGGUGGGAGCAGCAGAGUUGCUGGCCCUCGCUGGUUCGCUUGGUGGAGUCUGCGCAAGGCAGCGACGCAUAGUGCCGAGUCUGGUCGCUGGUGAGGUAGCGGUGGUACUUCCCGCCGCUACUGCGCAAAACCUAGAUCGGUAGGUGUGUCGGUGGGGCGGCUGGCUGCGGCGAACCUCGUGAGCCGAGCUGGGUCCCCCACCCUGUUUAUAUAGCGCAGCACGACAGGGGCCCACCACCCAAUGCUAGGGUGAGCACCCCCGAUCAGGGCGCGGAUCAGGGUCCCAAUGGGCCCAAAGGCCCAUUGGGGACGAGAUCAAUCUAACAUUCUCCCCCUUGAUCUCAUCAUUUACUUUUAACUUUACACUUUUCGCUUUUAUUCGUUUCAUCGUAGAUUAAUAUGUAGAGCAUGCCUCAUCGUCACAGCUUAAUCGCCGAUAGAAUCAACAGCUACAACACACCUCUCUAUUUUAAAAAAAUUCUGUUUCUUUUGGGCCUUUUCCAAUCCAGGAAUCAUAGGCUUUCCCUUAAACCCAUGCCGGCUAAGUGUUCUCUGAACACAUUGGGUGGUAAGCCUUUCGUGAGCGGAUCCGCAAGCAUAUCUUUUGUUCUUAUAUGCUCGAGACUUAUAGUGCGAUCCUGGAUUCUGUCUUUCACAACAUAAAACUUUAUCUCAAUGGUUUUGGAAGCAUUGCUUGAUUUGUUGUUGUGAGCAUAGAAUACUGCUGGCUCAUUGUCACAGUACAUCUUUAGUGGUCUGUGAAUACAGUCAACCACUCUCAAUCCGGGUAUAAAUUUCUUUAGCCACAUCGCCUGCCCCGUGGCCUCAUGACAUGCUAUGAAUUCUGCAUGCAUCGUUGAUGACGCAGUUACUUUCUGUUUUGAGCUUCUCCACGAGAUAGCUCCUCCUGCGAGAGUGAAUACGUAUCCAGACGUGGAUUUUCUAUCAUCUUUGUCUCCCGCAAAGUCUGCAUCUGAAUACCCUUUUAUCUCUAGGGAAUCAGAUCUCUUGUAUGUAAGCAUGAGUUCUUUUGUGCCUUGCGCGUAGCGCAAUGCUUUCUUUACCAUCUUCCAGUGUUCUACACCUGGAUUACUUUGAUAUCUACCAAGAACCCUGGUGACAAAAGCUAAGUCAGGGCGAGUGCACACUUGAGCAUACUGUAAGCUUCCGACAGCUCAAGCAUAUGGAACCGCUUUCAUUUGAUCGAUCUCGGAUUGGUUCCUGGGAUAUUGAAAAUUCCUAAAACUGUCGCCCUUGACUAUGGGAGUUGGUGUGGCCUUACUCGCAUGCAUAUUAUACUUCUUUAGAACUUUUUCUAAAUAUGCCCUUUGCGAUAAUCCAAGGACCCCAUUCAGUCUAUCUCGGUGAAUUUCUAUGCCCAAAAUAUAUGAUGCUUCACCAAGAUCCUUCAUAUCGAAGUUUGAGGACAAAAACUUCUUUGUCUCUUGCAGUAGAUUGAUAUCACUGCUUGCAAGUAAGAUAUCAUCCACAUACAGAAUUAGGAAAAUGUAUUUCCCAUUUUUGAACUUUGCAUAGACACAAUUGUCCUCUAUGUUCUCUUGAAACCCAAAUUUCUUGAUUAUAUCAUUAAACUUUAGAUACCACUAUCUAGAGGCUUGCUUUAAUCCGUAAAUGGAUUUCCUUAGACGACAUCCCAUAUUCUCUUUGUCUUCCAUGAUAAAACCCUUUGGUUGUUUCAUGUAGACAUUUUCUUCUAAAUCCCCAUUUAGAAAUGCCGUCUUUACAUCCAUCUGAUGUAACUCUAAGUCAAAAUGUGCAACUAGUGCCAUUAUUAUUCUGAAGGAGUCUUUACAUGAGACAGGAGAAAAAGUCUCAUUGUAAUCUAUUCCUUCUCUUUGUGUAAAGCCUUUUGCCACAAGUCUCGCCUUAUACCUUUCUAUAUUCCCUUUGGAGUCACGUUUAGUCUUGUAGACCCAUUUACAGCCUACUGUUUUGGCUCCUUUAGGAAUCUCUUCAAGUUCCCAAACAUUGUUGGAACUCAUUGAUUUCAUCUCAUCUUCCAUGGCCUCUAGCCACUUCGAUGAGUGAACACUUUUCAUGGCUUCCUCAUAUGAAGUGGGAUCACCUUCUAUAUGAACUUCUUCUGUAUUAUAAACUUUAUAGUAAUCAGGGAUAGCUGAUCUUUUGACUCUUUGAGACCUUCUAAGCCCCUCACUUUCGGGCACAUUCUGUGCCUCUGCUUGUGGCACAUCAUUGAGAGGUGGCUGCUGCAACUCUUCUUUGUGUAUAAUGAUGGGUUCAGUUGGCUCCUGAAGGACAGGUUCCAAAACUUCACUCAUCGUUUCCACAAGUGGAAUCACAGCAGGUGCCUGCACCACAAUAUCAGGGACUGUAGCGGGUGCUUGCACCACGACCUCAGGAACUAUUGGUGCGGGAAUAACAGGUAGUGAGAAGAAUGGUUCCUGAAUCAUCGGAUUAGGUGCACACACCCGCUUCUCCUCAAGAUCAAUCUCUCGAGCCACCAUGCUCCCCCUCACCAUCUGAUCCUCUAAGAAAAUCGCGUGUUUCGUUUCUACAAACUUUGUAUAUCUGUCUGGAUAGUAGAAACGAAAACCUUUUGAUCUUUCCGGAUAGCCAAUGAAGUGGCAACUUACUGUUUUGGGAUCUAGCUUCCCAAUGUUUGGGUUAAAUACUUUGGCCUCAGCUGGGCUCCCCCACACACGCAGGUGGUUUAGUGAGGGUACUCUUCCUGUCCAUAGUUCAUACGGUGUUUUGGGCACCGACUUACUUGGCACUCUAUUUAGAAUGUGAAUGGCAGUUUUCAACGCCUCCAUCCACAGUCCCAAUGGUAAGGUGGAAUAACUCAUCAUGCUGCGCACCAUAUCCAUCAGUGUACGGUUACGCCUUUCAGCUACUCCAUUCUGCUGAGGCUCGCCCGGCAUCGAAUACUGGGCUACUAUGCCAUUUUCCUGCAAAAACCUUGCAAAAGGUCCAGGAACUUUGCCAAAUGGGGUAUGUCGACCAUAGUACUCCCCCCCACGGUCGGUACUAUUUUGAUUCUUUUGUUAUGCUGAUUUUCAACUUCAGCUUUAAAUAUCUUAAAUUUAUCCAGCGCUUCUGAUCUUUCUUUAAUUGGAUAAAUGUAACCAUAACGGGAGUAAUCAUCUGUAAAUGUUAUGAACGAGUCAUAGCCAUCCACGCUUUUCACAGGAAAUGGUUCACAAAUAUCAGUGUGGAUUAUCUCUAAAACUCCUGUGCUACGUUUAGCGUCUUUUUUAAUUUGCUUUACAAACUUUCCUUUAAUGCAAUCAACGCAUUGUUCUAAGUCUGAGAACUCUAAUUGAGGAAGAAUUUCAUUCUUAACUAGUCUUUCUAUUCUCCCCCUCGAAAUAUGGCCUAAAUGACAGUGCCAUAAUUUCGACGAUGUUUCAUGAGUUCUCUUUCUUUUCUUUGUUUGUUGCUCUGACGAGGAUACAAUCAUAUUGACAUCACACACAGAAUUUACUUUUUCACGUAGUGAUAAUAAAUACAACUCAUUGUGAAGGAUGGCAACACCAACACAUGCAUUAUCGAACCAAAUGGCACACUUUCCAUUUCCAAAAUGACAUUCAUAUCCAUCAUGGUCCAUACGUGAAAUGCUGAUCAAGUUUCUGUGUAAUGAAGGAACAUAAAGUACAUCUCUAAGUACAAGCAUGAAACCAUCAACUAGCUCUAGAGAGACAUCGCCAACAGCUUCAACCUCUGCUUGGACUCCAUUUGCGACUUCAACGCAUCUUUCGCUUCUUUGCGUAGUCCUCGUUGAACGGAAUCCCUGUAAAGAAUUUGCAACAUGAACAGUUGCACCUGAGUCUAUCCACCAAGUAGAUUUCGAAUACUGUAUAUACAAGGAUUCAUUUACAAAGGAAAUAGUAUUCUCACCUCUUUUUGCCAUUAUUGACUUUAACCAGUCGGGACAUUCUUUCUUGUAGUGCCCCUUUUUCUUGCAGUGUAGACAUUGAUCUUUGUCUACUGUGAGAGGCUUUUGGUGAUACUGCUGCAUAGGAGCCUUUCCUCGUGCCUUGAAAGAGGAGUUAACAUUCUUUUUCCUGUUGUCCUUCACAUAGUGCAAUGAACCACCAUAUGAGGAUCUAAUUCUGUCCUCUUUCUGCACGCACAUGGCUAUCAUUUUGUCCAUGUCCCACUGUUCUGGCUGCAUGUUAUAAUUGAGAACAAAGGUGUCAAACUCUUUUGGCAGAGAAGCAAAAACCAAAUGAAUAAUGUGCCCAGACUUGAGCUCAAGAUCCAUUGGCUUCAACUGUGCUGCCAAGUUGUACAUCCUCAAGAUGUGAUCUCUUAUGCCAGUCCCUCCACCAUUGUACCUCUCUGUGGCCAGCUGCUUGAACAGCUGGGUAGCAUAUAUCUUUGAGGAACCAGUGAACUGAUUCCUUAUCUUCUCGAGGUACUCUGUGACGGAGUCACACUCUGUGAUCGAGCCCAAAAUAGCAGGCUCAAUCGUAUUCUUUACCAAAGCCAUACAUUUCUUGUUGGCAGUGGUCCACUGUUUAUUUUCAUGGGUGUAUGCCAACUCCAGUGGAGCAUAGUCCCUUUCCUUUUGCUGCCAUGCAGCAUCAUCAUCACCUUCAGCCCUCACUGGCUUCUCUGGAGCUUGUGGCCGCGGUGUAGUCAGCACCCAGUCAACUUCUCCACAAACGAAGGAGAACUCAAUCUUCUUCCUCCAUUCUGUAUAGUUGUUGCCUUUCAGAAUGGGUAUCUCUUUGAGACAAGCCAUUAAGUUGAAUGAUCCUGAAAUUUGCAAUCCAAAGUGAGAUCAUAACAACAAUUGUAUGAUUUAUUUCCAACGUUGGUCAAAAAAUAAAACAUACAACUGUUUAUGCAAUUUAAAACUAUAUCACCGUUGGGCAGAAAUAGAAAUAAAAGCAUCAAAAAAACUUUUUAAAUCAUGAUACAGUUAUUAACAACGUUGGUCAGAAAAUAACAGCACCAUAAUCUAAUUAACUUUAUCAUGCUCUCACAAAUUUAAUUGUCUCGUUGGUUCAAAUUCAAUUUAAAUAGAGCAAUAAAUUUGACUUUUGCAGCAGAAACUGUGAAAUAAAUCUAUUUUCAGAAGCAAAAACACUGUAUAAACUUUAUUAAUCUCUAAUACAAAUUAUCCCGUUAGUUCAAAUUAUAUUAGAGACUAAAACUAUGCAAAAAAACAUUAAUUAAAUGCUUCUGGAAAUAGAAAGAACUAAUUAUCAGGCGUUACUGUGCAAAACUUCCUUUUCGGCCCAGCAGCGAAAACGGCCCACAGCCCGUUCCCGCGCUCGGCCCGCUUGCGCGACGCCGUCGGCCCGCUUAGGCGGCCCGCCAAAAGCGGCUUGGCGCUGGCCCUCCCACGCGGCUGCGUACACAGGCCGCAGCGUGGGCCUGGGCCGCGAAUGCGGCCUGCUGCCGCCUCCCGCCUAGGCCGUUUCCAGCCCGAGCGAUCGUGUACCCCCGCCGGCCGUUGUGAGCCAUCGAUCUAAUCGGACGGCCGCGCGUUGAUUUCGGCGGAACAAAAGCGCCCGACGGCCGAUCCCCCGGAAACCCUAGCUUCAUUCCUUUCUUUCCCCCGCGAGAUCCCACCGUGGCGGCGGUGGCGGGGCUGUCUCUCCCGCGCCCGGCGAUGGCCGGCGGCGGCGGUUGAGGGAUGGCCCCGCCGGAGCACGGCCGCGGCAGCCUCCCUCCCUCUCUUUUGCUUGCUUUCCCUCCCCCUCUCCCUCUCCCUCGGAGCCUACUCCAAGAUCCAGGAGGUGGCCAUGGCGACCAUGGAAGAGGGCCGGCGCCACCGCGGGUCCCCUCGCUGGCGCGCGCAUCCACCGCGAGGGUUGGGCGCGCCGCCGUCGAGCGGUCCUUUGGUGGUGCUGUUGCCCCCCCCCCCCCCCCGAGCCUCGAGCGGAUGCUCCGGCGGCUCGGGUGGACCUUUUCCCCGGCGAGCCCGAGGCUCGGCCGGCCUUUGCCGCUCGCCGUCGGUGGACGUGCGACGGUGAGGUCGGCGACAUGUAAGCCGCCGCUUUCAUUCUUUAGAUCUAGGGUUAGGGUUUUAGGUUUUACAUUUUCUGUUUCUUUUUUGAUCUACUUCUUUUUCCCGAUCUAGAAGGGCUUCUAGUGAGGUGUCUGAUACCAUUGAUACCAUUGUCUGAUACCAUUGUUGUCAGGUGGUGGCAACCAGAGAGCAAGCUUGCUACGGAUCCUGACACGCGCUGCAGCACUGCAGCACCACCUGACAACGACCAUUUCCAUGUCUAAUUUUCUUGCCAGCCAGAUUCUAAUUCAUUUGGAGUUUUGGUCUGCUCCAGGUAUCCAGUUUUCGAUCACUCUCUGAUUUCUGGACAUAUGCUGCCCACCUUUAAAAUGCAUUUUCUUAUGGUCUGUGAGAUGCAGAUCAGCAAAUUGGUAUUCCGGUGUUUGUUUUCCACGAGCAGGACACAGGUAGUUUUUGUCUGGGCUUACAGACGUUGCAUGCGUCGUUGGACGGUGUGGCAGACAGCUCUCUGAUUGCUGCUGCUGGGUCGCUGUGUCGUCUGGGCUAGGCAAGCUGACCAAGUCUAUUCUUCAUCGAUGGGCAAAUCUGUUCUUUUGCGGGCCCAUGAAUUUAGGUGCACGCAUCACAACGCAUUCAAUCAUUCACACGCGGGGUAUCUUCAAGCUGAAGGCUGGGUCUCAACUUGUGUUGAUUAUGUUGAUGCUUGCUAAGUGUGCAUCAGGUAGAGUAUUCUGGUUAUAUUAGAGAUCUAAUAACCUUGGUUUAAAUUUGUAAUAUCAAUAUGUACGAGCAGGAAGUUAAAUUAAAACAAAACCAAAGGAAUAAUCAAAAGUUCCAUAUUCAACCAGGUACGUGGUACUGCACAAAAUUAAUCUUUGUCUUAGAAAGUUCUAUAGAAAUGAAAUAAUUGUUAUAAUAAGUCUAGCCGCACGAACCACCUUGUUAGUUUGCUUCGAGGGAAAUUAGCAAUUAAAUUUUGUGGUCCACUGGGAUUUUAUCCCAAGGCUUCAUUGUAGACUGUUCCAUGGCCUACAUAAAUGGUAUGGUUCUAUAGCUCAACAAUCACCAAGCGAUGUUUUUUUCCUAUAUUCACCACUAUCUGCAUGACACCAUAUUCAUAACGGUUGUCAUGGCAUUCCUGGAGGCAUAAAGGCCUUCUUUUGAGAUUGAGGGCAUUUUGGCCAUGGAAGGGUAGACUUGGGCAGUACUGUAUCCUCGGGGAGCUUGGCAAUAAAAGUCGGGGUAGGAAUUGUCUCCAUUAUGCAACACUGCGCCUGGUGGACAAGGCCAAGAAGGGGCGCAAGAAAUCAGUCAAGCUGUCGGAAAAUGUGAAGAAAGCCAUUGUUGGUUCCCUAGUGGGAAGCAACGGCCACCUGACGAAUGGGGUAACAUCGCUGCAAAACAAUGGCAUCCAUUGUCUCUCAUGGCCAUGUGAUGCUACUGCUACCGACGGAGCGGUCACUCGCACCAUUCUCAUUUGCAUAUGAUGCUAUACUGCUACCGACGAAGCGAGGACAAGCUGGAUAGAUGCACCUUUCAAAACAGAAGACGCGGUCAAAACAGCCACCAUUUUACUCAAUGACGCCACAGCUUGCCUUCGCACCGUACCUAACCUCUUGCCUGACCACAGCUCUAGCUAUAUCGGAAUCCAUACUCGAUAAGUCAACCGAGAAACCAGUCUAUUUACUCAAAGAGGCCAAGGAAUUGAGGAGCAGGUGUAAGAAACUAUUGGAACUUAGCAGCGACAGUGGUGAUGGUGAUGAAGGACCUCUCGUUAUGCAGGGUGCUAAGCUUGUGAAACAUCUGAUCGAAGACAUACAAGAACCGAAAUUGAAAUGGAAGAUCCUCUCUGAUUUCUAGGCGCAGAUGAUGCUGUACAUCUCGCCGUCCCACCAUGCCCGGGCGCACCUGGAAGUUCUUGCAAGAGGAUGGGAGUUCAUCACGCACCUUUGGGCGCUGCUCAUGCAUACCGGUGUGCUGAAGAGAGGACCUACAGAGCCAAAGGAUGUCUGAUCUCUCCAACCAGUGCACACGUAGCAGUCCAUAUAUCUACCUAGUGCUUUGAACAUUCUAUUUAUAUUGCCUACUGUCAUGUUAGGACAGACCAACUUGUGGCAUACCAUGUGUGAGUUAGUCUGUCGAGUCUGUAUCUCUUUUCACGCCGUGUCUGUUUUCAGAUUUUGAACAUAGUGGGAUCUGUAUUUUCCUCAAGUUUCAUUAAGAAGAGUGCACGUUCAGGUUGUUGGACGUGCGCGCGUCUUAGGUGGUCAUUACAGUCAUGAUCUGGUGAUCACUUGGGUCACGAACUCACGAUCCUUAGUUGCAGCUUCAUCGCAGCACAAAUCCACUCCCUCUCAGUUGCAUUUGGUCAUGUGUCAAUCGAGCAGAUCCUGUUGCGGGAAAGGGAAGCCUUCAUUCUUUGCUGAAUGUAUUGGACCCCCAUUUUGGGCACAGGUAAAAUGGGUAUUUACACUUACAAAAGUAAUAAAUGGACGGACUUGCCAAGCAGGCUCAUAACUAACAAAUAUGCCACAGAACUUGGUAGACUCAUUUCCUAAAUUCUGCAAGAAACUGGCGAUGGUCCUGAAUUACAUGACUAAGAUGUUUAGCAGCAUUUUGGAAAAUAUACCGCAAACAAAGACGAUGCCUCGUGUUAGGGAAUAAAAUUCUAAUUGCAGCAGACAUGGCAGCACACUAAUCCGUGAAAAUUGUGCUAGGAUGCUUGUUCGACAUUGCUGUUAGGAUUGUUUUCAAGAGCCAAACAAAUGAUUCAAUGGUUUCAUUAUAUAAUAUUGCAGCCCCAAAUAUAAUUGUUUGCUUGUGAUGGUUGGUUCCAAGAAGUGGUGCAAAAGGCAUCUCAAAUUUGUUGGUUUGAAAUGUUGUGUCAAAUGACACUGCAUCACCAAAACAUGCAUAGUCCAUGAUAGCUUGACCAUCUUUCCAAAAUAAAUUGCUAUCCGACCAUCUUCCUCAUCUACUUGUAUGGCAUAAAAAAAUAUAAGAUCCUCUAAUUGCUUAUUCUUCAAAUAUUCUAGUAGUGUUUGUGCAUUAUUGGAUGGUAUGUACUUCCUCCGCUCACGACCAAUCAUAUUAUUGCAAACCAUUUGUGAGAAAGGUACAUUCUUAACUCCUCCGUACCACUGCUUAAAAAAUUCAUACACUUUGGCUAGUUGUAUUCUAGCUCCUUGUAUACGAGCAAUUAGUUGUUUAUCUACCUUUGUAAUAUUUCUUUGAGACCUCAGCUUGUUUACCUUAUUUAGGCUAGCAAGAUAGUGAUUGUGGUUAAAUACAACCUUUUGAACUGUCCAAAUGCCCUCUUGACUUAUACUAAACUGAACCCGAGCAUUGAAAUUUAUCCUUGUAGUAGCAUUUUCUUUUGAAGUCUCAUGUGAUGAAUGCUUACUUCGUUAUCCUUGAUUGCUGCAAACUAUGUGCUUUUGAUAUAUAUACUUCCAUCUGGUCUAUACCUUGUAGUGCUCUUUCUUAUACUAAAACCAAUAGUCCUUGCAUAUGCAUUGUACAUUUCAUAUGCAUCAUCCUCUUAUUUGAAAGACAUCCCAACUUGAGGUACAGGUCAGGAUUACUACCCUCCUGCAGUCCAAUGAAAUAUACUGAAAGAUAUGUCAAGACUCCAUUUUGUUACUUUUGAACUACCUGAUCUUGAGGUGCCACUUCUUCUGACAUCCCUAAAGCUGAUAUGGUUGAAUUUGGUGGCAUCACCGUCACCUCUGGGAGUAUGGACGCACCGGUGACCGGCUCAAUGGUAGGGCUCAACGAUGAUGUCGAUGGUAAAGCACAACGGAUUGUGAUCUCAACUGGUGCCUCGACUGCGAGGGUUGAAGAAAUCACGGCGAUGGUGUCCAUGUUGGUUGUGGGCAUUGAUGGCAGAAUUGUCUAGACCAUGUUCCCUGAAGCUGCACUCGAUUUUCUGGUGGCAGAAUCAUGCAUCGUCUCGAUCCGUUUUUUACGGAGGGGCCUUAAUCUCCUGAAAAAAUUCUCUGCUGGACCUUACGCUACGUGGGGUGCGGCGGUGCUCCAUUCGUAUCACGCGGGGCUUGGAAGCUCGAGCUGGUGCCACCGGCGACCGACCGCCAACGUGCGGCGCGGGGGCGGGGUGCUGCGGCCAGCGUCUAGGGUGGGGUGCCGCUGCACGCAGGACAAGGAGUGCGAGCAGUGCCACCGUCCGCAGGACCGGGAGCGCAAGUAGUCGCCGUCGUGGGAGCGCGAGCAGUCACCGCCAUCCGCAUGACCGGGAGCGUGAGCAGUCGCCGUCGUGGGAGCGUGAGCAGUCGCCGCAAGGGAAUCGGACAUGGGCCGUGGGGUGCCGCUGCUGGGCCUCGCGCUACAUGGGCUCAACGCUCGAGCAGUCGCCUCAAGGGAAUCGAAAAGGGAAUCUGACACAGGACGCGUGGACGUAAUCUAGGCGGUGUCACACCAGGCGCACGGUGCGGCCCCGCAAAGAAUUUUGUUCCAUUGUUAAUGGAUUUCUUCGAAUGUGGCACUUGGUUUUUCAUUAGUGUUAAUAAUGUGUCAUUGACCUUUUCCGGUUAUCAUAAGACAUUUUUUACUGGAUAUAUGACAGUUGACUGACUUCAAACAAGAGUUAAUUAACCGGGUGAAAUGUACACCAUAAUGGACUUUCAAAAAAUAAAUCUACAUCAUCAAGAUGGACGAUAGAGGGACUAACAGCAGGGAACUUAGAAUUUUGGUAGGUUAUACAGCUUCAUCACCUCAGUAAGAAUUUGCUGGUGAUUGGAUGCGGGCUGCAGGAAGAGAGUUCAGUUUUCUUUGACCAUUAUUAUGAGGUCAGAAUUGCAGGCUCUCUGGAAGCUCUUCUACAGGAUUGUGCAAGGAUUUCUUUCGCUGAGGAUGCAGACAAGUUAUUCCUGUUGACGUCUCUGGAACCUUUUCUACGGUGACGUCUUUUACAUAAAUCUCUGAUAUUACAAAAUGUGAGCUUCCAUGCAAAUUUAUAUAGUUACCUAAAAGAAAAAAUUAGUAACAUGAAAAUUUCUCUAAUUCUUUUUUAAACAACGUAUAGAUGCAUACACUUGUACAUACGCAUGCCGACUCACCUAUGAACGAAAGCACACACAUCUACCCCUAUCAUCAAAUCACAUCCACACAUUACUCAAUGAAGGAGUAAAAUCUGGCAAACCCUGCUGAAGAAUAAAUAUCUAAGUUCAAAAUGUGUAUGAGAAGUACAGAUUAAAGCCUGGUGAGUCAUAUUUUGAGAAAUGUUUAUUAAAAGCUAUGGAAGAAUUUCGAGAUGUGGGAUAUUCAAAAACAGGUAUGGUUCGCAAACCGGAUUUUGAAAGGACAUAUGGGUGGGUUCGAAACUCCUUAAAGAGCAAUUUCCUAGCAUGUAUAAUAUAGUUAUUUAAGGAGAAAUUUCCUAGCCUGCAUAAUAUAGUCAUCUACCCUCAUGGUACGUGUCUUACGUCAUGAUUCAAAUGUCACUACAUGUUUCUUUUCGAACAUCAUUAGUUGGGGAUAAAUUGAUGGCAUGAAAAUACCUAGUAGCUAAGAUAGCAAACUUUCAGCUUUCUAAUCAGAGGACUAUUUUAGCUAGGAAUUACAUAAACAUGGUUAAUUUGUCAAUUCGGUCCAUGUAUCAGUACCUGAUAAACUACGGUACCCCUUCCAACAAUAAAUUCAUUUGGAAGCUGAAGCUCCCUUUGAAGAUGAAGAUUUUUCUUUGGUUAAUUUUCUCCAGUCUGGGUAAUUUUAACAAAGGAUAACUUAGUUAAAAAAAUUGAUUGGUGAGACAAUAGUGUUUUUCUGUGAAUGUAAUGUAAAGAUUAAACAUCUCUUUUUUGACUGCUAGCAUGUUAAGUCUAUUUGGAGAAUUAUUCAUAUAGCUACUGGGUUAAUCUUACCAAGAUCCUUAACUCAUAUGCUUGGGAAUUGGCUAAUGGAUAUAGGGGAAAAUGAAAGGAAAUUGAUCUUUGUGGGUAAUGCAAUUCUUAUUUAUUGGUUAAUCUGUAUAUAACAUUCCAAGAUGGGGGAUGUAUAUAACAUUUAGCAUGUGCGAAAAAUGCACAGAUGCAUCGGUGCUACGUACAUGAGGGUAGUAGGCUUGAUACGCUGCAUCGAACAUUCUGUUUCUAUGCAGGGUGUAGUUUCUGUGAUCGUAUUUUUAAAGUUUCUGUGAUCGUAUUUUUAACGCCGGAGUAUUUUUUAGAUUACGUGAAUAGACGCGCCGAUUAAGGGAUGGAUGUUUUCCCUUUCUCUAAGAAUUUCUAACAUAUUUCUCAUUUUAUUUUUCUGUUAUGGCGUAGAAGGUACAUCUACUUUUUUUUUUCACCAACUGUUAUGCAUGAAGCUAGGUUAACAUAAAGAGAUAGCCAGUGCACCGAUCAGUGUCUCUCUUGUACUGUAGUCGUUUGCUCCCCAUGUCGUGCGGCCAUGGCAAGGCGAUAGCAUCACUACGGCAAAUAAGAAAUUCACCGAGUGCCAGGGGCACUCGGCGAAGGGCGAAAUACACCCGGCGAGCCGUUUGCCGAGUGUAACACUCGGCAAACGGCACACGGCAAACUUUGUGACGGCAAACAAGGAUUUGCCGAGUGUUUUCUGUCGCGCACUCGGCAAAGACUUUGUCGAGUGGCCAGAAAACACUCGGCAUACAAUUGUUAAAAAAAAUAAAAAAAACCUGUUCCGGCCGCCGGCCGCCGCCGCUAGCCACCACCGCCAGCACCGCCACCGGCCGCCGCCGCCACCAUCCACACCCAGCCACCGCCCGCCAGCAGCACCACCACCGCCACCGGGAGGGGAAGGGCCGGAGGAGAGGGAGGGGAGGGGUGCCGCCCGCCGGAGGAGAGGGGGGGGAGGGGCGCCGCCCGCGCCGGAGAGGGAGGGGAGGGGCGCCGCCCACGCCGGAGAGGGUGGGGAGGGGCGCCGCCCGCGCCGGCGGAUCUGGAGGAGGGAGGCGGCGGCGCCGGAACCGGGGGAGGCGGCGGCCGCACCACCACCAUCCACACCGCCGCUGCCGCCACCAUCCACGUCGUCGCCACCGCCGCCGCCGGCCACCAUCCACGCCCGCCGCCACCAUCCACGCCGCCGCCACCAUCCACGCCCGCCGGAUCCGGGGCUCCCGACGCGAGUCCCCGCCGGAUCCGGCGAGGAGGGGCGGAUUCCCCGCCGGAUCCGGCCGGAUCUGGGGAGAGGGGCGCCCCACUCGAGGGAGGGAGGAGGGGAGAGGAGGGGGAGGGGUGCCGGUAGGAGAGGGAGAGGGAGAGGGAGAGGGAGGGAGGGCGGCGGCGGCGGUGGCGGCGGCGGCGGCGUCGGGAGAGGAAGGUGGGGGAGGGGGGCAUCGGGAGAGGAAGGUGGGGGAGGGGGGCGUCGGUAGGAGAGGGAGAGGGAGAGGGAGGGAGGGCGGCGGCGGCGGAGGGGGGCGGGGGGGGGGGGGGGGCGCUAGAGGGAGAGGGGGCCGGGGGGGGUGCUGGAGAGUUGGGGAGGCGGUCUGUCGCGGGGGGAGUUGGGGAGGCGGCGGCGUCGGUCUGUUUUGAGGGUGGGGGCGGUCUGUGCCGAGUGUCCUACGUGGACACUCGGUAAAGAGUUUCUUUGCCGAGUGUCCAACGUAGGACACUCGGCAAACUUUUUUUGAAAAAAAUUUAAAAAAUAUCCAACAGUUUCAAAAAAAUACCAAAUUUUCACACGAACCAAUAUAGGUUCUCUACUGACUAUACAAAAAGUUUUGUAGUCAAACCGAACUCGACCGUCACUUCGACUAUAAUUUUAUCGAAUCCUUCUCAAAGUUACUAUUCUUCUUCUGAGAUGCUUCGGUUUGUAAUCAUCGUACAUGAUGAAAUGUGCAAAACCUUCUCAAUUUUUUUCCACAGCCUCCACGUAUUAUAUCAUCACAUCAUGACAAAUCUUAAGAUUUUCAGACUUUGAUUAUUUUUUUUACAAUUUAAAAAUACUACUGCCACACGUUCAUGGUCGUGUUUCCUGAACAAGAUGUUCGAAAUUUCUUUUCAUUUCAUGGGUCAGGUCUCAAAUUGGUCCAAAUAACAUGAAUAUCAUUUUUCUACUCAUUUUAUUCCAUAAUUUGAAUCACAUGCAGUUCAAAUUUGACUUAUACCAAAAAUUCCCUUGAAAUGCAAUUAAUUAAUUAAAUAUAGCAAAUAAAUUCAAAAAUAUACCAAAUUUUAACAUGGAGUACCACAUGUUGUAUGUGGGGAGUAGAAAAAAUUUCAUGGUGAAAAGAGAAAAAAAAUUAUUUUUUUGCCGAGUGUCAAAAAAAACACUAGGCAAACCCCCCUCUUUGCCGAGUGUUUUUUUUGACACUCGGCAAACCCCCCUAUUUGCCGAGUGUUUUUUUUGACACUCGGCAAAGAGGGGGCUUUGCCGAGUGUUUUUUAUUUGACACUCGGCAAAGCCCCGAUUUGCCGAGUGUUUUUUUUUGCCGAGUGUUUUUGGCUUGACACUCGGCGAAGAGCUUGUUUGCCGAGUGCUCGAAAAAACACACUCGGCAAAAAGAAAACACUCGGCAAAUUUAAGGUUUCCCGUAGUGCAUUUAUCAUAUAGACAGCUACGGAACUACCGUCCUCCAGAAAACAGCUACGAAGCUACCGUCCUCCAGAAAGGUGCUCCAGAAAGGACCUCUCUACAGAUGCCUGCUCACAAUGGAUGCGUCAGAAACCUCGUUCGUGCAGAGAGAUUUUGUUGGCCAUCUUUCUCUCUGUCAGCGCUCGGAGCUAGUGUCGCUUCUUCUUCCCUAGGGCCAAAGCUGACUGCUGAUAACGGCAGCGUCACUGACCUACCUGCACUGUUGGCUCUCAAAGGCCAGCUCUAGGAUCCUCGCGGCGUCCUUGCCGGCAGCUGGACAACUAACGUGUUCUCCUGUCGCUGGGUCGGCAUCUCAUGCAGCUGCCACGUCAGCGCGUCAUGGCUCUGUCGUUGCCAGAUGUUCCCCACCAAGGAGAAUUCAUCCCUCAAUCUUGGUAACCUCUCUUUCCUCUCCAUGCUUAACCUCACAAGGACCAACCUCAUUGGCUCCAUCCCUGCCGAUCUUAGUAGGUCACAUCGUCUUCGAAAACUUGCUCUUUUUGGAAAUGGUCUUUCCGGCACCAUUCCUAGUAAUUUUGGAAGCCAUAUGCGGCUUAAGGUUCUAGACUUGGGUAUCAACACACUCUCGAAUCACGUAUCAUGGAAGAUGCUAAAGAAUCUGCACAGCCUUCGGAUUCAGCUGCCGCAGUCUGCGAGCCUCACAGGUCGCAUCGGGAGUUCAAGAUUUUUAUCAGCCGGAAUCUCGGCGAGGCAGCAGGAUUGAAUCGUCACCAGUUGAUCAUGGCGAGAGCGUGAUCUCUUCGGCAUGUCCUUAUAACUUUUGGCAGCAAAUUUUUAUUGGGCCGGUUCUGUAUUGGGUUUUGACUCUAUUCUUUUUAUAUUGGGUUUUGGGUCACUACGUCAGCUCAGAAAAAUCUGCAUCCCUAGUUGUGUCAUCACGGACCUGCUUGCGGUGGAAGAGAGCUCAGAGCGCGUGCUUCGGCUGCAGGCAUUGCACGACCACUGCUGCAGCUUGGGUUCUUUUGCGGUUCUUACGGGCUUGGUAGGCUGGGCUGCAAAGCCGUAUUACAAUUUGAAGCUAGCUCGGUAUUACAAUUUGAAUGCUGUGCGUGUGACGAUGAGCUCGUGAUGUCUGCAGCGUAUACGUCACUUGGUUGCUAUCGUAUACCAAAUGUCUUGCAGCAGGUAGCUGAUUCGAUAAAAAAAAAAGAGUUGGAGGCGAGGACGGAGCAGAUGAUUCAGCAGAGGCUGAAGGCUGAGCGGCAGAGGAUGGAGGAAGAACAACGGCUGAGGAUGGAGCAGAUGUUUCAAUACAUGCAGGUUUUUGCAUCGAGUAUGGGUCAGCCAGCGCCACCGAUGCUAUUCCCUCCACCUCAACCACCCACAACUACUCCUGUGUCACACUUGACACCUUAUAUUGCAGAUUGAAUACUUUGACUUAGAGAGCUUGUUUCUGUCAUAAAUGUCCAAAUCCCAAAUGAUAUGUUAGCUCAAAGUGAAAUAUGCUAUGAUACGUUAGCAAAAAAAUGAUAUGUUAGCUCUAAAUGUUAUCUCAAAAUGAUAUGUUAGCUCUAAAUGAUAUGUUAGCUCUAAAUAUUAGCUCAAAAUGAUAUGUUAGCUCAAUCUUAUCUCACACAUGCAAUCUCUUCUCCUCUGUGCAGAAUCAAUCGGCGGCAUCGAAUAAUCACCCUCAAGAUCCGAAUUUGUCGCAGUGGUUCCCAGGGCCUCCGCAGUGACUAUUUGUGACUUAGUUGUGACUUACUUGUUACUUGCCUUUGCAUUUGUGGCUUACUUUAUGCUUAUUGUGAAUUAUGCUUGUGAUGCUUAUUGUGAAUUAUGCCUGUGAUGUUUGUUUGAGUGGGGGGGUCAUUAUACGUGACCAAACCAUAAAAUCAUCGCUUUGCCAAGUGUUACACUCGGCAAAGAAGCUAAAUUUGUCAUUCUGGGCAAAGCUUUGCCAAGUGUUUGUCCUUGACACUCGGCAAAGCGACCAUAAAAUCUGUCAUAUACGCAAUACUUUGCCGAGUGUUUGUCCGUGACACUCGGCAAAGGGACUAUACAUAGUACUUUGCUGAGUGUACUGGAGUUGACACUCGGCAAAGAUUUAAAUAUCGCCGAGUGCUGCUUGGCUUAACACUCAGCCACAUUUUAAAUAUUGCCGAGUGCUUUCUUCGUAAUACUCGGCAAAGUUUAGAUUUUUGCCUAGUGUUUUCCAGUUAGGACACUCGGCAAAGCUUAGAUUUUUGCCGAGUGUUUUUCCGUCAUGGCACUCAGCAAAGCCUCAAUCACCAUCUUCUCGCCGUCCCCGUCACUUUUUUUUUUGCCGAGUGUCAACCUAGCACUCAGCAAAGCUUUUGCCGAGUGUCCGACAAAAAACACUCGGUAAAUAAACUUUGCCGUUAAAAUCGAUGCCGAGUGUCGGUUGCCGAGUGUUUUUGGGGCUUUGCCUAUUGUUUUUGGUACUUGGCAAACAUCCUGUUUCCGUAGUGAGGUGCAAGAUAGGAAGAAGAGGAGAGGACGAGGAUGGGAGCAUUGAUUGUGGGCCCACACGAAUCAUUGCGGGUGGCCUGAGAUGGAGGCGGGCAUCCUCCCCUGAUAAUGAUAAAAUGGUCAAAAUCAGCCAACCUUCAAUUGUUGUGAUUUCUCCCUGAGAUGGGAGAAUUGGGGACUGGGAGUAGAUCAACACGGGAGGAACCGCUGGAAGGAAGGAAGGAAGGUUCAGUUCGGGAUUCAGAAUUUCAGCACGGUCGCCAUGGCAUCGAUCUGCUUGGAGAACAACAUCACGCAGCGAGGGCGCCCAAAAACCAAGGGAAGGACGGCAUGGCAGUACUGCAAAGGAGGCAGAGCAGCGAAGCAGAGGAGAGCGGUGAGUUGUCGAGCGAGCGAGACCGACGGAGGUGUUUGGACAUCAACAUCUGUUGAUGAGAGCAUCUGCAAAUACUUCGAUUAUUGGUGUCAUCCUCUACUGUGUCAUGGUAUUACCUACUCAUUUAAGCACCAAUAUAUAAAAACUCUGGCUUUUAUCGAAAAGAACAAAAAGAUUCAGCCCCGAUGUGAUCCCACCGGCCCCCACGCGUUUCACGUGGUAACAGUACUUCAAGUUUAUCUUCCAUUAUCUAUAAACCCACGCAGAUUACGAUAUGGACCACGUGAUCAUGUGUCACAAUCACACGCACCACCCACAGACAUGCUGAUGGUCAUCGGCCCCCAUGAAUUAUUGAAGUCCAUCCCAUGCGUGCAGCCGUGUAUAAACACCGCCCUCCGGCAGGCUCCUCCAUCACCACAUCCACCACCUCCUCUCCUCAUCCUGCACUCUGACUCUCCUCGUCGUAGUAGUGUUCGAUCGUGUGUGUGCAAGUACAGCAAUGGGGUUUGGGCGGAAGGUUGGAGAGGGUGGGGUUAGCAGGUGGCUCCUCCUGCUCGCCGGGGUGCUGCUGGCGGUGGCUGUCACGGUGACGGCCGGUGACGCUGCGGAGGAGGGAGCCACCGCUGGCGACUACACGUUUGGCGCUGUGGAGGAGGGAGCCACCGCGGGCAAAGACAGCCUCCACGGUAGCCGAGCUAUGUGCGAGCUCAAGUGCCAACAUCAUCAAGAUCCAGUGAACAAGCAGCGGUGCAUCGACUUCUGCAUACGGUGGCAGCUAGCACUACUGUUUGACGUUAAGGAGGAGGAUGGAGCCACCACCACUGACGCCAUCACCGCUGGUGAGGACGGCAUCUGCGCCAGCCGGCGCAUAUGCAAGCUCAAGUGCCAGCACCAUCACGACACGGUGAACAACAACCGGUGCACCGACUUCUGCAUAGGGUACCAAGUGGCACUAGAUGCCAUUAUGGAGAAUGGAGCCACCGUCACCGCUGGUGAGGACACGUUACGCGGUAGCAGGCUUAUGUGCGAGCUAAAGUGUCAGCACCACAAUAACCCGGUGAACAAGAAGAGGUGCGUCGACUUCUGCAUUCGGUACCAGCUGGCACUGCAUGAUAUCAAUGAUGGAGCCACCGCCGCCGCCGCCGGCGGAGCCAUCCGCCAGGUGGUGUGACGCCGGCGCAUGCAUGGACGGCAUGAAUAAGGGCCUAAGUACGUGUCGCUGGAUAUUUACGGACCGCUCGUGUGCGUUUGUCUUUUACGUUGAUGUGUGUGUGAUGUGUGAGAGGCCCUGACCGAAGCUUACGUAUUCGGUUUCACUAGUACUUGUUGUCUCUGGUUCUACUGCGUUUGUAAGAGCCUUUGCAAGUGACUUGUCAGUUGUGAUGAAUAAAGCAACAGGCUCUUUUUCGUUCAGAGUGGAUUUGUAAAAAGCACUGGCCAGUUAGGUUUAUUUUGAACAAGAUCGUCAUCUCCUCUUUUAGCACGCUAGGUCAUCUCGAGAAUGAUUAAAUUCUCAACUCAUAAAUGGACAAUAUUGUUGGUAUAGGUGGGUAAUCACCAGUGACAUAUCACUAUACUAUGCAUAUACACUCACACAUAUAAACACUGAAACACACAUGCUACAUGCACACAAACUCAGUUCGCGAUACCAAGGCGUGCCCGCAAUCGGGGUUAUUCAUUUCCAGUGGAUCAAGUUUAUGUUCACUGGAAUGCACGACAACAUGAGCAUCCAAAAUGGAAACAAGCCCAUCCCACCUAACCGUUC
This 35186-nucleotide long non-coding RNA is filed under the name Setaria viridis. RNAcentral describes it as "long non-coding RNA (SVIR_LNC009853)". Lineage: Eukaryota; Viridiplantae; Streptophyta; Magnoliopsida; Poales; Poaceae. The record is from RNAcentral.